This 460-nucleotide ribosomal RNA is filed under the name uncultured bacterium. RNAcentral's name for it is "partial 16S ribosomal RNA". It matches the Rfam family "Bacterial small subunit ribosomal RNA", at positions 338 to 795 of the family's 1533-position model. The record is from RNAcentral.
CCUACGGGCGGCAGCAGUGAGGAAUAUUGGUCAAUGGACGAGAGUCUGAACCAGCCAAGUAGCGUGAAGGAUGACUGCCCUAUGGGUUGUAAACUUCUUUUAUAUGGGAAUAAAAUGUUCCACGUGUGGGUUUUUGUAUGUACCAUAUGAAUAAGGAUCGGCUAACUCCGUGCCAGCAGCCGCGGUAAUACGGUGGGUCCGUUCGUUAUCCGGAAUUAUUGGGUUUAAAGGGUGCGUAGGUGGAUUGUUAAGUCAGUUGUGAAAGUUUGCGGCUCAACCGUAAAAUUGCAGUUGAAACUGGCAGUCUUGAGUACAGUAGAGGUGGGCGGAAUUCGUGGUGUAGCGGUGAAAUGCAUAGAUAUCACGAAGAACUCCGAUUGCGAAGGCAGCUCACUGGACUGCAACUGACACUGAGGCUCGAAAGUGUGGGUAUCAAACAGGAUUAGAUACCCCGGUAGUC